Long non-coding RNA from Oncorhynchus keta (chum salmon), 3443 nucleotides. RefSeq lists it as uncharacterized. The transcript has 3 exons. The record is from RefSeq and is a predicted model, not a curated record. NCBI's taxonomy places the organism in Eukaryota, Metazoa, Chordata, Actinopteri, Salmoniformes, Salmonidae.
CUAUCCUAAUAAAUUGUUUAACAUGGGUCAAACGUUUUGGGUAGCCUUCCACAAGCUUCCCACAAUAAGUUGGGUGAAUUUUGGCCCAUUCCUCCUGACAGAGCUGGUGUAACGGAGUCAGGUUUGUAGGCCUCCUUGCUCGCGCACACUUUUUCAACUCUGUCCGCAAAUUUUCUAUAGGAUUGUGGUCAGGGCUUUGUGAUGGCCACUCCAAUACCUUGACUUUGUCCUUAAGCGAUUUUGCCACAACUUUGGAAGUAUGCUUGGGGUCAGUGUCCAUUUGGAAGACCCAUUUACGACCAAGCUUUAACUUCCUGACUGAUAUCUUGAGAUGUUGCCUCAAUAUAUCCACAUCAUUUUCCUGCCUCACGAUGCCAUCUAUUUUGUGAAGUGCACCAGUCCCUCCCGCGGCAAAGCACCCUCACAACAUGAUGCUGCCACCCCUGUGCUUCAUGGUUGGGAUGGUGUUCUUCGGCUUGCAAGCCUCCCCCUUUUCCUCCAAACAUAACGAUGGUCAUUAUGGCCAAACAUUUUUAUUUUUUUUCAGACCAGAGGACAUUUCUACAAAAAUUACAAUCUUUGUCUAUGUGCAGUUGCAAACCAUAGUCUGGUUUUUUUAUGGCGGAUUUGGAGCAGUGGCUUCUUCCUUGCUGAGCGGCCUUUCAGGUUAUGUCGAUAUAGGACUUGAUUUACUGUGGAUAUAGAUACUUUUGUACCUGUUCCUCCAGCAUCUUCACAAGGUCUUUUGCUGAUGUUCUGGGAUUGAUUUGCACAUUUCGCACCAAAGUACAUUUCAUCUUUAGGAGAAAGAAUGUGUUUCCUUCUGGAGCAGUAGGACGGCCGCGUGGUCCUAUGGUGUUUAUAAUUGCAUAUUAUUGUUUGUACAGAUGAAUGUGGUACCUUCAGGCAUUUGGAAAUUGCUCCCAAUGAUGACUUGUGGAGGUCUACAUUUUUUUCCCGAGGUCUUGGCUGAUUUCUUUUGAUUUUCCCAUGAUGUCAAGCAAAGAGGCACUGAGUUUGAAGGUAGGCCUUGAAAUGAAUCCACAGGUACACCCCCAAUUGCCUCAAAUGAUGUCAAUUCGCCUAUCAGAAGCUUCUAAAGUCAUGACAUCAUUUUCUACAAUUUUCCAAGCUGUUUAAAGGCACAGUCAACUUACUGUAUGUAAACUUCUGACCCACUGGAAUUGUGAAACAUGUCAUGCAUAAAGUAGAUGUCCUAACUGACUUGCCAACACUAUAGUUUGAGAACAAGACAUUUGUGGAGUGGUUGAAAAACAAGUUUUAAUGACUCCAACCUAAGUGUAUGUAAACUUCCGACUUCAACUGUAUCUAGCCAACUUCACAUACUGUAUAGAUAACUCGCUAAGUGAAUGAAAUAUCACCAUCUACCUAACUUCAUAUUGGGUGAUAUAUUGGGUCAUGGGUGCACCUCAGCCACGCUCAAGGUCCUAAACGAUAUCUUAUCCGCCAUCGAUUAGAAACAAUACUGUGCAGCCAUGUUCAUUGAUCUUGCCAAGGCUUUCGACUCUGUCAAUCACCACAUCCUCAUCGGCAGACUCGGUAGCCUUGGUUUCUCAAAUAAUUGCCUCGCCUGGUUCACCAACUACUUCUUUGAUAGAGUUUGUCAAAUCGGAGGACCUGUUGUCUGGGCCUCUGGCAGUCUCCAUGGGGGUGCCACAGGGUUCAAUUCUUGGACCAACUCUCUUCUCUGUAUACAUCAAUGAUGUCGCUCUUGCUGCUGGUGAGUCUCUGAUCCACCUCUACGCAGACGACACCAUUCUGUAUACUUCUGGCCCUUCUUUGGACACUGUGUUAACAACCCUCCAGACAAGCUUCAAUGCCAUUACAACUCUCCUUCCGUGGCCUCCAAUUGCUUUUAAAUACAAGUAAAACUAAAUGCAUGCUCUUCAACCGAUUGCUGCCUGCACCUGCCCGCCCGUCCAACAUCACUACUCUGGAUGGUUAUGACUUAGAAUAUGUGGACAACUACAAAUACCUAGGUGUCUGGUUAGACUGUAAACUCUCCUUCCAGACUCACAUCAAACAUCUCCAAUCCAAAGUUAAAUCUAGAAUUGGCUUCCUAUUUCGCAACAAAGCAUCCUUCACUCAUGCUGCCAAACAUACCAUCCUACCGAUCCUCGACUUCGGUGAUGUCAUUUACAAAAUAGCCUCCAAUACCCUACUCAAUAAAUUGGAUGCAGUCUAUCACAGUGCCAUCCGUUUUGUCACCAAAGCCCCAUAUACUACCCACCACUGCGACCUGUACGCUCUCGUUGGCUGGCCCUCGCUUCAUACUCAUCGCCAAACCCACUGGCUCCAGGUCAUCUACAAGACCCUGCUAGGUAAAGUCCCCCCUUAUCUCAGCUCGCUGGUCACCAUGGCAGCACCCACCUGUAGCACCAGCAGGUAUAUCUCUCUGGUCACCCCCAAAACCAAUUCUUCCUUUGGCCGCCUCUCCUUCCAGUUCUCUGCUGCCAAUUACUGGAACGAACUAGAAAAAUCUCUGAAACUGGAAACACUUAUCUCCCUCACUAGCUUUAAGCACCAGCUGUCAGAGGAGCUCACAGAUUACUGCACUUGUACAUAGCCCAUUUAUAAUUUAGCCAAAACAACUACCUCUUCCCCUACUGUAUUUAUUUAUUUUUGGUCCCUUGCACCCCAUUAUUUCUAUCUCUACAUUGCACAUUUUUCCACUGCAAUUCCAGUGUUUUACUUGCUAUAUUGUAUUUACUUCGCCACCACUGCCUUUUUUUGCCUUUAGCUCCCUUAUCUCACCUCAGUUGCUCACAUUGUAUACAGACUUAUUUUUCUACUGUAUUAUUGACUAUGUUUGUUUGUUUGAGUAGGCUAUUCCUAAAAAUGAAGAUGGAGAUAAUAGUAACAUAAUAUUCAGUGGGGUGUAAUUUGACUAUAAUUUAGUCUGUUUCUUGUGAGGUUUUCUGUCCUCAGAUAAAGAGGGCUAUGGAAUCCUGUCUACAUAUGAAGAGGUCCCAAUGAAGAGCAGUGGUUCUUAGUCCUGGUCCUGGGGACUCAAAGGGAUACGUUGUAACUGGAGAUUCCUUAAACAAUUGCCUCCAGUUAACGUGUAGGGCACUGCAAGGUUGGGUGACCAGGGCCACAUGGGACUGCCUCCUGGAGGAAUUCAGGUGUGUGAAGGCUACCUAUGUCCUGCAUAACUAAAUGAGGAUGGACACGAGGACCAGGAGGAAAUCUGCAGCUCACCGCCAUGUGCCAGAGGAGAAGUCCGCUGCUCUGCAGGAUGUUUCAAGGAUGGGGCCCAUCAACGCAGCAAGAGAGGCAAUCUGUAGGUGGGAGGCAGCAAUGCUGAAGAGGCUGCUGCAUGGCAUGAACGUCCCUCCAGAGCCCCCCAGGAAGAGGCUGAAGUAGAGGAGAGACUCCUGGGAUAUCUGUCUGACCUGAGCCUCUCACUGCCUACUGAUUCA